AUACAGGCUUUUCUAAAAGCCAAAUAUUCAAAAACAUACCCU
Non-coding RNA from Felis catus (domestic cat), 42 nucleotides. Lineage: Eukaryota; Metazoa; Chordata; Mammalia; Carnivora; Felidae. The record is from Rfam.